This 520-nucleotide long non-coding RNA is filed under the name Ananas comosus (pineapple). RNAcentral's name for it is "long non-coding RNA (ACOM_LNC038295)". Lineage: Eukaryota; Viridiplantae; Streptophyta; Magnoliopsida; Poales; Bromeliaceae. The record is from RNAcentral.
AUAGUAAACUAUUAUUUUCAGUUUCCUAAAAAAUUUCAAAAUUUUCAGAAAAUACUAUUUUCUUUUUUCAGAAUCAAAAACUAAAAAAGAAAUUUUUUUAUGACAAAACAUUACUCAAAAACGCUUUUUUUAUAUUUAACCCCCUUAAAAAAUUUUUUCUACAAAUAGUGGUAUGAAUUUUAGAUAUUUGCAAGAUUGGUCAUAUCCCCGUCACGCGAGCGCCACUCGAGCAUCGAUGGCAGUGGAGAUUAAGUUGAACACAGUGAACCAUUCACCGUGUUGUUUGGACACAGUGAAUGAUUCACCGUGUUCUAUUAUUUUUCGUACAACUACGUGAUAUUUGGGUGAACCAUUCACCGUAUCUAAACACGAUGAAUUGUUCACUGUGUUCAACUUAAUAUUCAUCACCGCUCACAUGGCGCUCGCGUAGCGCUUACAUGGCGGGAAUAGAACCAACCUUGCAAAUAUAGAUUUUACAGGACUGUUUAUAAAAUAAAAAAAAAUUACUGAGGGACUAAAU